Molecule: small nucleolar RNA, 89 nt
Filed under: Dasypus novemcinctus (nine-banded armadillo)
Lineage: Eukaryota; Metazoa; Chordata; Mammalia; Cingulata; Dasypodidae
Description: Small nucleolar RNA SNORA63 (ENSDNOG00000026053.1)
Source: RNAcentral
AAACAGCCUCCUGCUAAAAUAAAGUUGUUUCUUAUCUAUCCCUGUCUGCUGAACUCUCGUAGCAGCCAGGGAUGCUUAGUCUCAUACUU